GGGCCCGCACAAGCGGAGGAGCAUGUGGUUUAAUUCGAUGAUACGCGAGGAACCUUACCAGGGCUUAAAUGGGAAACGACAGGACUGGAAACAGUUUUUUCUUCGGACGUUUUUCAAGGUGCUGCAUGGUUGUCGUCAGCUCGUGCCGUGAGGUGUCAGGUUAAGUCCUAUAACGAGCGCAACCCCUGUUGUUAGUUGCCAGCGAGUCAUGUCGGGAACUCUAGCAAGACUGCCAGUGCAAACUGUGAGGAAGGUGGGGAUGACGUCAAAUCAUCACGGCCCUUACGCCCUGGGCUACACACGUGCUACAAUGGACGGUACAGAGAGCAGCCACUGCGCAAGCAGGAGCGAAUCUACAAAACCGUUCUCAGUUCGGAUCGGAGUCUGCAACUCGACUCCGUGAAGCUGGAUUCGCUAGUAAUCGCAGAUCAGCCAUGCUGCGGUGAAUACGUUCCCGGGCCUU
RNAcentral lists this ribosomal RNA (463 nucleotides) under uncultured bacterium. Its description in RNAcentral is "bacterial SSU rRNA". It matches the Rfam family "Bacterial small subunit ribosomal RNA", at positions 917 to 1382 of the family's 1533-position model. The record is from RNAcentral.